GAGACAAUCUUAUGGGGCAGGACUUGCUUCAGUGGGGCUUUGGUGCUCACUGAGUCCGCCCCCUGAGUGCCUUGCU
This 76-nucleotide microRNA precursor is filed under the name Myotis lucifugus (little brown bat). RNAcentral describes it as "mir-9229 microRNA precursor family". It matches the Rfam family "mir-9229 microRNA precursor family". Lineage: Eukaryota; Metazoa; Chordata; Mammalia; Chiroptera; Vespertilionidae. The record is from Rfam by way of RNAcentral.